This is a long non-coding RNA of Macrobrachium nipponense, 1813 nucleotides long. RefSeq lists it as uncharacterized. The transcript is spliced from 2 exons. NCBI's taxonomy places the organism in Eukaryota, Metazoa, Arthropoda, Malacostraca, Decapoda, Palaemonidae. The record is from RefSeq and is a predicted model, not a curated record.
AAAACAAACAAGUAAACGUUAAUCAACACCAAUAGAAUUAUAAUGAAACCGACCAUUACUCAUCCAAGAAAUAUAUAAUUCCACACUAAAAAAUAAAAAAAAUGCUCCUCCUUAAAUACCUUCCCUGCAAAAAUCACCAUCUUUCUACUUCCAGUUUAAUAUAUAUCGAAAAGACCCAUUGCUUAAUAUGGGCGGACGGGAAAUCCAAUUCAAUUCCCCAAAUAUUGGGGAUUAGGAAGCAAAAGGGUUAAAUCCAUAUUACAAAACACAGCCAAGGAGGCAGCCGUUGGAGGGGAAGGAUGCGCGUCGUGGGAAGAUAGCCCAGAUAAAAGGAUUAGCCCGUUGCAUAGGUACAAAUAUACAAAGCGAAGGGAUUUACUCCUACAGACGCGUUCCGACAUUUUCUAUAUUGAAGACUACGAAGGGCAAUCGCGUCCUUUAAAGAUGAGGAUAAGAUAAGACCCCUUUAUUGCCUGUUAAAUAAUGGUGUGCUGUCAUAAACAAACUUACAAUGCUCAUGCAAUAAGAGGACUACCGUCUUCACUUUCAUGAGGGAAUUAAAAAAUUCUAUUGGUUUUGCUUUAAAUUGAUUCAGCCUGGUUCCCGCUUGAUGUCCCGAUAACUUGAACAUUCUGGUUCGUGCUGGUCAAGCUGCCCAUCUGCUCAGUGGGGGUUCUGGAGUCACUAAGAUCGGGCAUUUUGCUUGCCAUACAGAUCAAUCCACCAGCGACCCAAAACGUAUCCCCUACGGAGCAGGGAUUAUGACGUCACGGAGUCAAGAGUCCUUGUUUAUAGUAACUGACUUUCUUUUCAAAACAAGCCGGUGUUCAGUUCAGUCUUCAGUGAUGUUCAGUGCGUAGCAGCUCUCACGUAUUCCGGUUACCUGUAUGUUAAACUGUAGUUUGUACAGUGUUCGGUUGUUAUCGUUAUCUACCGUAAUCAAAAUGCCUCGUUAUUGUGCUGUAGACGGGUGUACUUCCAAACAAGGUAACAAGACGGAAGGCGUGACUUUUCAUAGCUUUCCCAAGCACAUGGAAACAAGAAAGAAGUGGCUACGUUUGUGUGGCAAGAGGGACCGCUUCAACCAUGAGAGGGCAAUCAUGUGUAGCCUGCAUUUUGAAGGAGCUGCAUUUGAAAGGAACCUGAAGUAUGAAUUGCUCGGAAUACCAUUGCCAAAGAACCUGCGAAGAAUAAAGAGAGAUGCAUUGCCAACGUUGUUAUUACCGGUCUCCCAAGAUCAAUGCCAAUCGAAUUACAGAGACGAGAGACUGAUGGAACACGAACAGAGACAUCUCGGAGAAAUCCUCGGAAAUCACGAGACAGAGGCGUCAUCUUCCCGCGAAGAGAACGACUUCCAACGCCAAUUGGAAAGCUUCAGGGUAGAGUUAAAUGACACAAAAUUGAAAUGGAUAUUAGAUAAAAUUAAAUGGGCAGAGGAGAAGGUAAGGUGGGAGCAAGAAAGGUCAACAUUUGAGAGGGAAAAGGUAGAGUGGGAAAUUGAGAGGGCAACGUGGGCAAGAGAAAAGGCGAAGCUGGAGAGUGAAAAAUCAAUGUUUUGGCAAGAACGGCUACUGUGGCAAGAACGGGUACUGUGGGCACAAAGAAGAGAAAAGUGAUUUAAAUGAACAUUUCUUUUUUUCUUUCCAAAAUAUAUGUCUUUUUAUUCCUGUUACUUUGUAAGAACAAUAAAUUUUUUUAUAUCCUUUUAUGUCCAAUAUCUGGGGACAUCCGAGUUACCAGAUUUUUUAUUCAUUCCAUAUUUCUAUGGAAAUGUCAAUAUUAUAUACCCGUCAAUAAAAGAAAAUGAGCAUAA